Molecule: ribosomal RNA, 435 nt
Filed under: uncultured bacterium
Lineage: Bacteria
Description: partial 16S ribosomal RNA
Rfam family: Bacterial small subunit ribosomal RNA
Source: RNAcentral
AGCGAACGCUGGCGGCAGGCUUAACACAUGCAAGUCGAGCGGGCAUCUUCGGAUGUCAGCGGCAGACGGGUGAGUAACACGUGGGAACGUACCCUUCGGUUCGGAACAACUCUGGGAAACUGGAGCUAAUACCGGAUACGCCCUUAUGGGGAAAGGUUUACUGCCGAAGGAUCGGCCCGCGUCUGAUUAGCUAGUUGGUGGGGUAACGGCCUACCAAGGCGACGAUCAGUAGCUGGUCUGAGAGGAUGAUCAGCCACACCGGGACUGAGACACGGCCCAGACUCCUACGGGAGGCAGCAGUGGGGAAUAUUGGACAAUGGGCGCAAGCCUGAUCCAGCCACGCCGCGUGAGUGAUGAAGGCCUUAGGGUUGUAAAGCUCUUUUGUCCGGGACGAUAAUGACGGUACCGGAAGAAUAAGCCCCGGCUAACUUCGUG